Chroicocephalus ridibundus (black-headed gull) is the source of this 2054-nucleotide long non-coding RNA. RefSeq lists it as uncharacterized. The record is from RefSeq and is a predicted model, not a curated record. The transcript has 3 exons. Lineage: Eukaryota; Metazoa; Chordata; Aves; Charadriiformes; Laridae.
UCGGUCCGGGUCCCCGUUCCCGGUGCAGCCCGGUCCGCUCCCACCCCCCGGCUCGGCGGCCCAGGGGCCGGUCCCACUCGCGUCUGGCGGCGCGGGGUCGGGCCCGUUCCCACGGGCCGGGGCGCGCGCUUUGCGCAGCCCCAGUGGCCUAAUGGAUAAGGCACUGGCCUCCUAAGCCAGGGAUUGUGGGUUCGAGUCCCAUCUGGGGUGAGCCUCCCCAAGUUUUGGUGAUGCCAGCCCCGUUUUCCCGCUCUUUCUCCUCUAUUUUACUGCCACCCCGACCGCGCAGCGCUGCCGGGCCGCCGCCUCCUCCUGCUGCCUGGCGGGCACCAGCUUUGGCUGCUUGGUGGGAAGACAUUCCCCAACAUCAGUCGCAGAUGUCAAUUUAGGAGGUUGACGCACCUGGAGAACCCAGAAGUGGGAAUAAACAGGCGCUGACCAUAACAUCUUGGACCGAUGCGGUUCUCUGCUCCCGGCCAGCCGUCACGGUUUAGUUCUCAUGAAAUCGGGAAGCAAAGAGGAGCAGCUACAAACUGCCCCAGGCUUCGGUGCAAAGGCGGAUGCUGAAUCCGGCCGGUCGUGUGUCCCCCAUUCCCAGUGCUCAGGUGUCAUGCAGACCUCUUCUCGGAGCAGGCCAGGCUGUAACGGGAAGAAAGCUUUAUUCCUCUGCCAGAAACCGCAUCUCCGCGAGGGGCUGGUCGCUGGGGUCGCGCAGUUUGGCUGUGCUGCCCUGGGGCCAGAGUCCUCCACGUAAGUGCCUUCGGGAUGGUGCCCUCUCAGGUUUAGUUGCAUUAAAAAGCUGCUUGGAGGGUCUUUUUGCUACGGAGUUAAUGGCUUUUAAAAGGCAGCUGCGGUCAGGGUGAUAUCACGCUAGUAAAACCUAAAGUGAAGUUUCUUUCUAAGUAAUUUUUCUCUGUUAGAUGCGGGAGGAAAUGACUCUGCUGCCUGGAAAACAGCAAACCUGCCGAAGCCCUGGGUGCUGGACUGCUGGCAGCCCCCGGCAGCCGAGCUGCAGGUCCCUGCGCCGCUCAGCAAACCCUGCCAGCGCUGGGGGCCGGGGAAGGGGCUCGAGGGGUGCCCCCAGGCUGGUAGUACCUGGGACCAGCUGACUUCCACCUCGUUGGGUGACCGGCUUCAGGGCUGUGGUUGAAAGCGUGGCCAGAGCACAUUUUUUGCAUCCCUCUCACAAGUUUGGAGAGCUUUUGGGUGGCUUUUGGGGGUGUUUGAUCACUUGGCUUCUUUUGGGUGGCGUUUUCUUUGCAUCUUCUGGAGAUGCUGUACCCGCAGCCCCGCUGGGAUGCCCGGCUGGGAUGCCCUCCUGGCAGCAUGGUGACGGGCCUGGGUUGGUUCCCUGCCUGGUGAGAGGGACUUCCAUUGGUGAUGGCCUUGCUCGGGUGGCACCGGGUUGUGUCCCUGCUGUUUCUCUUUGGUUCCUGACUGUUUCUGCAGUCAGGCACUGGACCCAUUUGGACAUGGCAUCCUCACUGCACAUCUGGCACAGUGCUGCUCACCUGCACCCCCCACCCCAACCCCUCCAUCACACCAGUCUCUCCCCAUCCGACACCGCUGGGAUUUGCACCCUAAACCCUCCCAUGCCCCGAUUGCCUCAGUGAGACCUCAGGGGGGAUGGAGCUGGGGCAGCUGCUGCCUGCCCUGGUCUGACGCCGGCUCCUGCCACCCGCUGCACCCCCCCCAGAGCAGCCCUUUCUCUCUAGCACGUCCCUGCUCAGCUUUCGUUUGAUGGACACACUGGAAAAGACGCACUGGUUGAAGCUGAGCCGAACAUACCCCAAGAAUCAACACGUCCCCAAAACCUCCCGUGGCUGCGGAAGAGGUUAAAAUCCCUUCCCUGCCCUGUGACCGGCUUUGGGAAACUCUUUUUUAGGUUUCGAUGAGAAAUGCGGGUUUUGAGGAGAAGUCAAGCUGCAGUGGGAGGAGAACACAGGUGUUAUUGAUAAUGAACAGAAGCUUAACGAGGCCUGUGGUGUUUCUUGUUGUGUCACACUAUUAUCCUAUAGUGGUGCUACGUUACACCAGGUGCCUGUCACCAGCGG